UACGUAGGGGGCAAGCGUUGUCCGGAUUUAUUGGGCGUAAAGAGCGUGUAGGCGGUUUGGUAGGUCGGCUGUGAAAACUCGAGGCUCAACCUCGAGACGCCGGUGGAAACCAUCAGACUAGAGUCCGGAAGAGGAGAGUGGAAUUCCUGGUGUAGCGGUGAAAUGCGCAGAUAUCAGGAAGAACACCCGUGGCUAAGGCGGCUCUCUAGUACGGUACUGACGCUGAGACGCGAAAGCGUGGGGAGCGAACAGG
RNAcentral lists this ribosomal RNA (253 nucleotides) under uncultured bacterium. RNAcentral's name for it is "partial 16S ribosomal RNA". It matches the Rfam family "Bacterial small subunit ribosomal RNA", at positions 524 to 776 of the family's 1533-position model. The record is from RNAcentral.